RNAcentral lists this ribosomal RNA (938 nucleotides) under uncultured bacterium. Its description in RNAcentral is "bacterial SSU rRNA". It matches the Rfam family "Bacterial small subunit ribosomal RNA", at positions 28 to 962 of the family's 1533-position model. The record is from RNAcentral.
GACGAACGCUGGCGGCGCGCCUAAUACAUGCAAGUCGAGCGAAGACGCUUUGUGCCUUGGCUUCGGUCGAGAAUCAAAGUGGACUGAGCGGCGGACGGGUGAGUAACGCGUGGGCAACCUGCCCUAUCGCCCGGGAUAACCCUCGGAAACGGGGGCUAAUACCGGAUGCGGUCACGAGCUCGCAUGGGUUUGUGACGAAAGAUUUAUUGCGAUAGGAUGGGCCCGCGUCCCAUUAGCUAGUUGGUAGGGUAACGGCCUACCAAGGCGACGAUGGGUAGCCGGCCUGAGAGGGUGAACGGCCACACUGGGACUGAGACACGGCCCAGACUCCUACGGGAGGCAGCAGUAGGGAAUCUUCGGCAAUGGGCGAAAAGCCUGACCGAGCGACGCCGCGUGAGGGAAGAAGGCCUUCGGGUCGUAAACCUCUGUCCUUGGGGAAGAAGGUGACGGUACCCAAGGAGGAAGCCCCGGCUAACUACGUGCCAGCAGCCGCGGUAAUACGUAGGGGGCGAGCGUUGUCCGGAAUUACUGGGCGUAAAGGGUGCGUAGGCGGCCAUUUAAGUCUUGUGUGAAAGGCCCCGGCUUAACCGGGGAGCUGCAUGGGAAACUGGAUGGCUUGAGUGCUGGAGAGGGUUGCGGAAUUCCCAGUGUAGCGGUGAAAUGCGUAGAUAUUGGGAGGAACACCAGUGGCGAAGGCGGCAACCUGGACAGUAACUGACGCUGAGGCACGACAGCUGGGGGAGCAAACAGGAUUAGAUACCCUGGUAGUCCCAGCCGUAAACGAUGAGUGCUAGGUGUUGCGGGUAUCGACCCCUGCAGUGCCGCAGUUAACGCAAUAAGCACUCCGCCUGGGAGUACGGCCGCAAGGCUGAAACUCAAAGGAAUUGACGGGGGCCCGCACAAGCGGUGGAGCAUGUGGUUUAAUUUCGAAGCAACGC